GGGUGCUUCGCUCAGCGGUAGAGCGCUUCGUUCACAUCGAAGAUGUCAGCGGUUCAAAUCCGUUAUCGCCCACCA
Molecule: transfer RNA, 75 nt
Filed under: Paracoccaceae bacterium
Lineage: Bacteria; Pseudomonadati; Pseudomonadota; Alphaproteobacteria; Rhodobacterales; Paracoccaceae
Description: Rhodobacteraceae bacterium (bioreactor metagenome) tRNA-Val
Rfam family: tRNA
About the family: Transfer RNA (tRNA) molecules are approximately 80 nucleotides in length.
Source: RNAcentral